Amaranthus tricolor (Joseph's coat) is the source of this 2662-nucleotide RNA transcript. It is a transcript of the gene named DEAD-box ATP-dependent RNA helicase 20, with no coding region annotated. NCBI's taxonomy places the organism in Eukaryota, Viridiplantae, Streptophyta, Magnoliopsida, Caryophyllales, Amaranthaceae. The record is from RefSeq and is a predicted model, not a curated record. The transcript is spliced from 9 exons.
CCAAAUCGUACGAUCACCAACGUACUAUCUCUUUACUGCUAUUCUUUUCGGAAAAAUCCCCUUUUUUUCUCCGCAAUUGAAUUAGAUUUCCGCAAAACCCUAAAGAAUCACCACCAUAUAAUCUAUCUCCCCUGUCUCGAUUUCUCUAAAACCCUAACUCAACAUGAACUAUAAUCACUAUGACAACCGCUACAACGAUCCAUCUUCUUAUCGUGAACGCCGCAGUGAUUUAAUGGGCCCUCCACCUAAUAUGGGUGGUCCGGUAAGGGCCGCCGUACCUCCUUAUAGCGGGCCCCCUGUGGGUGGGGCUCCAUUUCCGAGUUACCCACCUUUUGAACCUCCGGCUAACCGUAGAUUUGAAAUGGGUCAUGAUGAUAGAGGUUCAGGUGGUAGUGGUAGAGGUAGAGGUAGAGAUAAUUUUAGAAGUAGUGAUAUAGGCGGUAGGCAAAGCGGGUUUGAUCAUUCGAGUGGAAGCGUUGGUGGUAGAGGUUUUGAUGCAAGAAGAGGAGUUAUUAGAGGGAGAGGAGGAGGGAGAGGGUUUGAUGGAAAUCGAAGCGGUGGGAGAGGUUUUAGUGGUGGUGCAUUUGGUAGAGGAGGAAGUGGUGGUUUUGGAGGAGGUGGUGGCGGAGGGAGAGGAGGACGAGGAGGUGAUAAUUUGGAUUCUAUUGCACUUCCUAAACAAGAAUUUAGGAACUUGGUUCCGUUUAGGAAGGAUUUUUAUUCGGAGAGUGCAUCAGUACGAGCCAUGACGGAUCAUGAGGUGACAAUGUAUCGAGCUAGGCGUGAUAUUACGGUUGAAGGACAUGAUGUUCCUAGGCCUAUCAGGAUGUUUCAUGAAGCCGGCUUUCCAGCUUAUUGUCUUGAUAUCAUCGCUAAGUUGGGUUUUGCUGAGCCGACGCCAAUUCAGUCUCAAGGAUGGCCUAUGGCUCUAAAAGGUAGAGACUUGAUUGGCAUUGCUGAGACUGGCUCUGGGAAGACUUUGGCUUAUUUGUUACCUGCUCUUGUGCAUGUUAGUGCUCAGCCGAAACUAGAAUAUGGUGAUGGACCAAUUGUACUAGUAUUAGCCCCCACUCGAGAAUUGGCUGUGCAAAUACAAGAGGAAGCACUGAAAUUUGGAUCUCGGGCUAAUGUUCGGAGUACCUGCAUUUAUGGAGGAGCUCCCAAAGGACCACAAAUUCGUGAUCUUAAAAGGGGUGUGGAGAUUGUGAUUGCUACUCCUGGUCGAUUGAUAGAUAUGUUGGAAGCCCAACACACCAACUUGAAAAGAGUUACAUAUUUGGUACUAGACGAGGCUGACCGGAUGUUAGAUAUGGGUUUCGAACCUCAAAUUAGGAAUAUAGUCUCCCAGAUCCGACCAGAUAGACAGACUUUAUACUGGAGUGCUACGUGGCCACGAGAGGUAGAAUCCCUGGCAAGGCAGUUCUUACGUAAUGCUUACAAGGUGGUUAUUGGAUCAGCAGAUCUGAAGGCUAAUCAUUCUAUUUGCCAAGUAAUUGAAGUCAUGAACGACUUAGAGAAAUACAACCGGUUAGUUAAACUGCUGAAAGACAAAAUGGAUGGGAGCAAAAUUCUAAUAUUUGUGGAAACAAAAAAGGGAUGCGAUCAAGUCACAAGACAGUUGAGAAUGGAUGGCUGGCCAGCUCUGGCUAUCCAUGGUGAUAAAGACCAAUCUGAAAGGGAUUGGGUUCUGGCUGAGUUUAAAAGUGGCAGAAGCCCUAUAAUGACUGCCACUGAUGUUGCUGCUCGUGGUCUUGGUAGGAUGAUUGUGUGUUAGGAGUCUUGAUUGUUGCGUUGUUGGUCUCGAUUAGUGUCUUAGUAAAAUUAGGCUUGCUAGCCGGCUGCUGUCCAGUUCCUGUCAAAUAUUUGUGGUUUGGCCGUUUGGGUGAGAGGCAGGAUUGCAACGCUGUGACUUGCAAGGUUUUCUAGUUGGCUUCUGCUUUGUCUUACCAGUUACCACUUACGAGCGCAGAUUUUUUUCUUCCACACACUUCUAGUCUUCAAUAUGGAUGAUAGGAUGGAUGCCUGUGGUCUCUCUGGUCACCAUAUUGCCUUUGAUGGUAACGUAUAGUCUUUGGGCAAUUAUUAGAUGCUUCUGGGACAGUGUAGCAUGAUUUGUCCGCUAAUUCGAGGUUUGAAUUCGUGAUUCGCCCAAAAUUAGCCUAAAACUGUUCAUAAUUUGCUUUCUUCGAUUCACGAUACGCAAGAAGAUUAGUGAAUCAUGUGACACUUGUUUGGGAUUCUUCCAUUUUGUUAUUUUUGACAUCGUAUUCUGUGGGUCAUGUUCUAGGGUAGGCCUUUUACGUAUUUCAGACUUGCGAGUUGUGUAGGAAGCUGUUUUCUUCAGUGUAGUCAUUAUUAUAAGUCAAAUUUGACUUUGCUCCUCCGAGUGGUAGUUGAAGACAUAGCCACCCAUCCACGGUUAUGGAGCUGGUAGUCAUGGCAGCCGGGUUCAGUUUGACAAGCUUAUAUAAUCAAUUAAGGAGAGAGAAUUGAUGCUGCUGCUCCUUAUCCCUAUAGGUGAAGAUGUAAAGGACAUAAAAUGUGUGAUAAAUUAUGAUUUUCCAACAAGUCUCGAGGAUUAUAUUCACAGGAUAGGGAGAACUGGUCGUGCUGGGGCCAAAGGAAUUGCUUACACAUUUUUCACACAAUCAAAUGCUAAGUU